AAGACACUUAGAUAGAGAGAUGUCCUUUAUGAGACAUAAUGAUAUUACCAUCAAAAUGUCUAACGUCUGGCAAUAGGGCAAGAAGAAACUCAUUGGUGUGCUUAUUUGGAUUUUCAAAACAAUGUUAUGAGUAUUUGAAAUGCAGAUUUGGUUGGUGGAAUGGGCAUGUUUGUUUAACUUUCUAAAAGUUCAUUUCAGGGCGUUUUAAAAUACAUGUACUCCACAUUAAUGAUAUCUCAAGUUUUUUUUUUUUUUUUUUUGUAUUUUUUAAACAGGACCAUGUGAAACAAGCAAUCAACAACAUUUGAAUAAAGUGUAUUUUGUGUUUCAGGUAUUCCCCUUACUUGUAAGGUCUGGAGCUGUCUCAAUUUUACUAGCAAGCUUGGUGUACAAAAUUUAAUGUGAACAUUGGCUUAUGGAUGACUCUGCCUAAUAUAUGACAUCAAAGGUACAUCAGCUUUAGGACUUUAUUUAUGUGGAUAUUUGUGGUGUGACCAAUACUAGAGGAUAAAUGCCAUCCCCUGCCACCAGAGACAGCAGAUUUAGGCAUAGUUUCCCUUAGCUACCAUCUCCCACUGUUCUAUGUCUUUGAUUAAACUUACAUAACUUAA
Pecten maximus is the source of this 611-nucleotide long non-coding RNA. RefSeq lists it as uncharacterized. The transcript is spliced from 2 exons. The record is from RefSeq and is a predicted model, not a curated record. Lineage: Eukaryota; Metazoa; Mollusca; Bivalvia; Pectinida; Pectinidae.